UACAGGGGGUGCAAACGUUGCUCGGAAUUAUUGGGCGUAAAGCGCGCGUAGGCGGCUACUUAAGUCGGAUGUGAAAGCCCCUGGCUCAACUGGGGAAGUGCACCCGAAACUGAGUGGCUUGAGUGCGAAAGAGGGUCGCGGAAUUCCCGGUGUAGAGGUGAAAUUCGUAGAUAUCGGGAGGAACACCAGUGGCGAAGGCGGUUCUCUGGGCCUUACCUGACGCUGAGACGCGAAAGCGUGGGGAGCGAACCGG
Molecule: ribosomal RNA, 253 nt
Filed under: uncultured bacterium
Lineage: Bacteria
Description: partial 16S ribosomal RNA
Rfam family: Bacterial small subunit ribosomal RNA
Source: RNAcentral